GACCAGCAUACACCAACUAACAACGUACAAGAAAGAAUGGGUUAAGAAAUCUUACUUUUCACUAUUUGAAGAACAAUAAAAACUGUGGUGAAAAUAACAUACCACAGCCAGAGCAGUUCCAAUCUUUUUAUUUGCAAAAUUAAAAUGGAAACAAGGUAUUCUCAGCAACCAAUACUCUACCCUACCAACAAAAACAACCUUGACGACGAUAGUUAGAACAACAUUUGUGGGAAUAUUCUUUCUCAAGUAGUUCUAUGUCUUUCCAUCUAGAAGUCAAACUCCAGUCUGCACAUGAGAUACCAUGUGUAGACUUGAGAUAUUGAACUUGAGCUACCAUGCAAGAAAAAUGCAUCCUUUACAGUCAAAUUCAUCAGUAACUAAACUUGAGCUACCAUGCAAUAAAAAAUUUCAGAUAUGCAAAUCAAAUAAAACACUAAAUUGAGAGUUUAAUCAAAAAGCCAGAUAAAAAUUAACAGAUUUCAAAAACAAAAACACAUUUACGAGGUCUGUAAAAAAAAGACCUAAAAAGAAUACAAGUACCUUUGACCUUAGGUCAAACUGAAAAAAAUGAAUAAAGAAAAUCCGAUUUGGCAUAAUUGGAGCAAAUAUCAUUCUGUUGUAAGCUCCUCCACAAAUUUCCUCUUUGAAUUUCAUCAAAUUUGGUUUGAGUCAUACAUUUGACUGGAAAAAGGAAAAAUCAAAAGAUAAACCGAGCUGGAGGUAGAAAAAGUACUAUGUGCAAGUAAAGAUUAGAUAGAAAUAGAGCAUUGUUGUAAGUUGUGAUGGAGAGAGAAAAAA
RNAcentral lists this long non-coding RNA (798 nucleotides) under Capsicum annuum. RNAcentral describes it as "long non-coding RNA (CANN_LNC005367)". Lineage: Eukaryota; Viridiplantae; Streptophyta; Magnoliopsida; Solanales; Solanaceae. The record is from RNAcentral.